This 256-nucleotide ribosomal RNA is filed under the name uncultured bacterium. RNAcentral's name for it is "partial 16S ribosomal RNA". It matches the Rfam family "Bacterial small subunit ribosomal RNA", at positions 793 to 1055 of the family's 1533-position model. The record is from RNAcentral.
GUCCACGCCGUAAACGAUGGAUACUAGCUGUUGGGAGCAAUUUCAGUGGCUAAGCGAAAGUGAUAAGUAUCCCACCUGGGGAGUACGUUCGCAAGAAUGAAACUCAAAGGAAUUGACGGGGGCCCCGCACAAGCGGUGGAGCAUGUGGUUUAAUUCGAUGAUACGCGAGGAACCUUACCAAGGCUUAAAUGUAGAUUGACCGGUUUGGAAACAGAUCUUUCGCAAGACAAUUUACAAGGUGCUGCAUGGUUGUCGU